UGAUCCAUUCUAAUCCUUACUGGACAGACUGUGGCCUGCUAAGCUUCACUUGCAGACCAGGACAUCCUAGAAGCCUCUCCCAAGUUGAACAAGGCCUUUCUGGGCUCAUGGCAAGGACACUUCUGGACACUA
This 132-nucleotide small nucleolar RNA is filed under the name Castor canadensis (American beaver). The record is from RNAcentral. Lineage: Eukaryota; Metazoa; Chordata; Mammalia; Rodentia; Castoridae.